RNAcentral lists this small RNA (80 nucleotides) under Salmonella enterica subsp. enterica serovar Tennessee. RNAcentral describes it as "partial RtT sRNA". It matches the Rfam family "RtT RNA", at positions 50 to 130 of the family's 130-position model. Rfam says of the family: This family represents a bacterial cis-regulatory element known as RtT RNA. The exact function of RtT is unknown although it is thought that it may be involved in changing the cellular response in relation to amino acid starvation. RNAcentral also lists the same sequence under 1 other name. Lineage: Bacteria; Pseudomonadati; Pseudomonadota; Gammaproteobacteria; Enterobacterales; Enterobacteriaceae. The record is from RNAcentral.
UAGAGAAUGUGAAGGAUAAUGUUGCUUUAGCAACGGCCCGAAGGGCGAGGCGAAGCCGAGUCAUCCUGCACGACCCACCA